This 1182-nucleotide ribosomal RNA is filed under the name Xylariales sp. CHTAE40. RNAcentral's name for it is "eukaryotic LSU rRNA". The stretch from base 550 to 1182 matches the Rfam family "Eukaryotic large subunit ribosomal RNA", at positions 1 to 655 of the family's 3401-position model. Lineage: Eukaryota; Fungi; Ascomycota; Sordariomycetes; Xylariales. The record is from RNAcentral.
UGGAAGUAAAAGUCGUAACAAGGUCUCCGUUGGUGAACCAGCGGAGGGAUCAUUAAAGAGUUCUAUAACUCCUAAACCCAUGUGAACAUACCUUACGUUGCCUCGGCAGGUCGCGUCUACCCCGUAGCACCCUACCCUGUAGGGCCUACCCGGAAGACGCGGGCAAGCCUGCCGGCGGCCCACGAAAUUCUGUUUAUCUUUGAAUUCUGAGCCUAUAACUAAAUAAGUUAAAACUUUCAACAACGGAUCUCUUGGUUCUGGCAUCGAUGAAGAACGCAGCGAAAUGCGAUAAGUAAUGUGAAUUGCAGAAUUCAGUGAAUCAUCGAAUCUUUGAACGCACAUUGCGCCCAUUAGUAUUCUAGUGGGCAUGCCUGUUCGAGCGUCAUUUCAACCCUUAAGCCUCUGUUGCUUAGUGUUAGGAGCCUACGGUCCCCGUAGCUCCCCAAAGUUAGUGGCGGAGUCGGUUCACACUCUAGACGUAGUAAUUUUUUUUCUCGCCUAUCAGUUAGACCGGUCCCCUGCCGUAAAACCCCCCUAAUCUUUCAAGGUUGACCUCGGAUCAGGUAGGAAUACCCGCUGAACUUAAGCAUAUCAAUAAGCGGAGGAACAAAAGAAACCAACAGGGAUUGCCCUAGUAACGGCGAGUGAAGCGGCAACAGCUCAAAUUUGAAAUCUGGCCCUCGGGUCCGAGUUGUAAUUUGCAGAGGAUGCUUUUGGCGCGGUGCCUUCCGAGUUCCCUGGAACGGGACGCCUUAGAGGGUGAGAGCCCCGUACGGUUGGACACCAAGCCUCUGUAAAGCUCCUUCGACGAGUCGAGUAGUUUGGGAAUGCUGCUCUAAAUGGGAGGUAAAUUUCUUCUAAAGCUAAAUAUUGGCCAGAGACCGAUAGCGCACAAGUAGAGUGAUCGAAAGAUGAAAAGCACUUUGAAAAGAGGGUUAAAUAGCACGUGAAAUUGUUGAAAGGGAAGCGUUUGCGACCAGACCUUUUCCCAGCGGAUCAUCCGGUGUUCUCACCGGUGCACUUCGCUGGGUUGAGGCCAGCAUCGGUUUCUGUAGGGGGAUAAAAGCCCUGGGAACGUAGCUCCUCCGGGAGUGUUAUAGCCCUCUGCAUAAUACCCUUACGGGGACCGAGGACCGCGCUUCGGCAAGGAUGCUGGCGUAAUGGUCGUCAACGACCCGUCUU